This is a small nuclear RNA of Seriola lalandi dorsalis, 115 nucleotides long. Its record names the gene U5. It matches the Rfam family "U5 spliceosomal RNA". Rfam says of the family: U5 RNA is a component of both types of known spliceosome. The precise function of this molecule is unknown, though it is known that the 5' loop is required for splice site selection and p220 binding, and that both the 3' stem-loop and the Sm site are important for Sm protein binding and cap methylation. Lineage: Eukaryota; Metazoa; Chordata; Actinopteri; Carangiformes; Carangidae. The record is from Ensembl.
UACUCUUGUUUUUCUUCAGAUCGUAUAAAUCUUUCGCCUUUUACUAAAGAUUUCCGUGGAGAGGAACAAUAAGAGUUUAAUCUAAUUUUUUGAUGCCCUGCUGAAAAGUGGGGCU